AAAGAUCUACCAAAACAUGAAAUCAAAAAAUCUGAACCGAUACAACAAUACCUGCCUGUAGCGUGAGCUAGGGUUGGCUACAUAAAAAGCUAGAAGUGACCAAUUUGAUUGAAAAAAGUACGAGAGUUCAAAUUAGAGAUUGAGGAUUCGAAUGGACACAAAAGAUCUGCCAAAACAUGAAAUCAAAAAACUGAACUGAUGCAACAAUACUUGUCUGUAUCGUGAGCUUGGGUUGGC
This 237-nucleotide long non-coding RNA is filed under the name Prunus persica (peach). Its description in RNAcentral is "long non-coding RNA (PPER_LNC008752)". Lineage: Eukaryota; Viridiplantae; Streptophyta; Magnoliopsida; Rosales; Rosaceae. The record is from RNAcentral.